GACGAACGCUGGCGGCGUGCUUAACACAUGCAAGUCGAGCGGUAAGGCCCUUUCGGGGGUACACGAGCGGCGAACGGGUGAGUAACACGUGGGUGACCUGCCCUUAGCUCUGGGAUAAGCCUGGGAAACUGGGUCUAAUACCGGAUAUGACUCCAUGACGCAUGUUGUGGGGUGGAAAGCCUUGUGCGGCUGAGGAUGGGCCCGCGGCCUAUCAGCUUGUUGGUGGGGUGAUGGCCACCAAGGCGACGACGGGUAGCCGGCCUGAGAGGGCGACCGGCCACACCGGGGACUGAGAUACGGCCCAGACUCCUACGGGAGGCAGCAGUGGGGAAUCUUGCGCAAUGGGCGAAAGCCUGACGCAGCGACGCCGCGUGAGGGAUGACGGCCUCGGUUGUAAC
Molecule: ribosomal RNA, 398 nt
Filed under: uncultured bacterium
Lineage: Bacteria
Description: bacterial SSU rRNA
Rfam family: Bacterial small subunit ribosomal RNA
Source: RNAcentral